UACGGAGGGUGCGAGCGUUGUCCGGAUUUAUUGGGCGUAAAGGGAGCGUAGGCGGAUUUUUAAGUGAGAUGUGAAAUACUCGGGCUUAACCUGAGUGCUGCAUUUCAAACUGGAAGUCUAGAGUGCAGGAGAGGAGAAGGGAAUUCCUAGUGUAGCGGUGAAAUGCGUAGAGAUUAGGAAGAACACCAGUGGCGAAGGCGCUUCUCUGGACUGUAACUGACGCUGAGGCUCGAAAGUGUGGGGAGCGAACCGG
RNAcentral lists this ribosomal RNA (253 nucleotides) under uncultured bacterium. RNAcentral describes it as "partial 16S ribosomal RNA". It matches the Rfam family "Bacterial small subunit ribosomal RNA", at positions 524 to 776 of the family's 1533-position model. The record is from RNAcentral.